Molecule: ribosomal RNA, 407 nt
Filed under: uncultured bacterium
Lineage: Bacteria
Description: partial 16S ribosomal RNA
Rfam family: Bacterial small subunit ribosomal RNA
Source: RNAcentral
AUUGAACGCUGGCGGCAGGCCUAACACAUGCAAGUCGAGCGGAGCGGGGGUCGGGGGAGUGAGAGCUAGGAAUCUGCCUGGUAGUGGGGGAUAACGUUCGGUACCGGGCGCUGAUGCCACUUACUCUCAGCUUAGGCUAGGUCGGAUUAGCUAGUUGGUGGGGUAAAGGCCUACCAAGGCGACGGUCCGUAACUGGUCUGAGAGGAUGACCAGUCACACUGGAACUGAGACACGGCCCAGACUCCUACGGGAGGCAGCAGUGGGGAAUAUUGGACAAUGGGCGAAAGCCUGACGCAGCCAUGCCGCGUGUGUGAAGAAGGUCUUCGGAUUGUAAAGCACUUUAAGUAGGGAGGCGUUACCAACAGAAUAAGCACCGGCUAACUUCGUGCCAGCAGCCGCGGUAAUUC